This 652-nucleotide long non-coding RNA is filed under the name Dunaliella salina. RNAcentral describes it as "long non-coding RNA (DSAL_LNC000365)". Lineage: Eukaryota; Viridiplantae; Chlorophyta; Chlorophyceae; Chlamydomonadales; Dunaliellaceae. The record is from RNAcentral.
GGAUUUCCGCCAACUACAUGGGCAUGGGCAAGAGUGCAAUGGAUGCGCUUCCUGAGCUGCGCCGCAAGGGCAUCACUGCCAGCGGCAACAGCUUUAGCAUGGGCGGCAGAACCAUGGAUGCCACCGAGCUUGCCCAGGCUCUGCGUCUGCAGGUCGGUGCACACUUUGAUGCACUUACUUUGCUCCUCUGCAGAAUUCCAGGAGCAGUCAUCGUUCUCCCGCCGCAGCGCAGUUGUUCCUGGUCUGAUGCUCGCUGUCCUUUGUGCCUGCGCAUGCUGCUGCUCCAAACAGCUCAAACAGUGCGCUUCUCCAUUGGUCCAUACACAUGUGCUAACACAGUGCACUCCCUUGUUGGUACAUACCAAUAGAGAAGUGCACUGUAUGCACUUGUGCUAUACGCUGUAAUGUGCCACACUGUAAUGUGCUAUGUGCUCUACACUGUAUACACGAGCACUUACUCAUGUGCACACUUCUCCAUCGGUCUGUACCCAUGUAUACUUGCCCUGGUGACUCAUCCAGUGUGUUUCAUGCUUGCUCUGGGAGGAGAGACCUCCUCAAAGCUCAUGGUAACUGGCUGUUCUCUGUAGGCCCGCCCUGGCAGCCGCCCUUCCACCCCACCCCGUGCGGCAGCUGCGCUCUCUGCACCUGUCAG